GAUGAACGCGUAGCCGGCAGGGCCUAAUACAUGCAAGUCGUACGGCAACACAGUUGCGAGCAAUCGCAACCGGUGGCGAGUGGCGCACGGGUGAGGUAACCGCGUAUGUAACCUACCCUUCUCCGGGACAUAACUCCGCGAAAGCGGUGCUAAUAUCCCCAUACCAACUCAUCAAGACAUCUUCUUGAGUUGAAAGCAGCAAUGCGGUGAAGGAUGGGCAUGCGUCCCAUUAGCUGGUUGGUGAGGUAAUGGCCCACCAAGGCUACGAUGGGUAGGGGUUCUGAGAGGAAAGCCCCCCACACUGGUACUGAGACACGGACCAGACUCCUACGGGAGGCAGCAGUAAGGAAUAUUGGGCAAUGGUCGAAAGACUGACCCCAGCCAUGCCGCGUGCAGGAUGAAGGCCCUAUGGGUUGUAAACUGCUUUUAGCCGGGAAUAAACACCCGUUUUAUAACGGGCCCGAAGGUACCGGCUGAAUAAGCAUCGGCUAACUCCGUG
Molecule: ribosomal RNA, 499 nt
Filed under: uncultured bacterium
Lineage: Bacteria
Description: bacterial SSU rRNA
Rfam family: Bacterial small subunit ribosomal RNA
Source: RNAcentral